ACCAGUAGUUGGGCUGGCCCGUAGGACGUUUAUCAUCGAUUUGAUCACGACAUACGGCGAUACUCGAUUACCAGAAAACCACUUUCACGGUCGAUGUACGGUUGGUUUAAUAAUGACAACUUUGUUUUGAUAAUGACAGUGGAAAGCCCGUCAUCAUUGGUCCGACAUGUGCAAUAGGAUUAACAUACCGUGACUGUCCUGUUAUAGGAAUGUAAGUUGCCUGCGAUUCACAACUGGAAUACUUUGUAUCUGCCACUGGAAGCAAUAUAUCAGGCUUAAAGUCGUAACACGCCACAUCUGGGCGACUCAACAUGGAGCUGCGGAUUCCAUAUUUAUUACUAUGUUCGCUGUGUACUGUAACGUCAUCAGAUAUACCUGCCUACGACAUCUUUACUCGUCUUCGUAAAGACCUUUUUGAGAACUACGACAGAUAUUCACGCCCCGCUAUAAAUGCAGACGACUCUAUUCGAAUUGAUUUUGGACUAUCCCUCAACCAGCUAGUGGAUGUG
Long non-coding RNA from Saccoglossus kowalevskii, 509 nucleotides. NCBI's taxonomy places the organism in Eukaryota, Metazoa, Hemichordata, Enteropneusta, Harrimaniidae. The record is from RefSeq and is a predicted model, not a curated record.